Molecule: small RNA, 290 nt
Filed under: Corynebacterium urealyticum DSM 7109
Lineage: Bacteria; Bacillati; Actinomycetota; Actinomycetes; Mycobacteriales; Corynebacteriaceae
Description: 5' ureB small RNA
Rfam family: 5' ureB small RNA
Source: Rfam by way of RNAcentral
CGGUGUCGAACUGAUCUGGGGAGAUGAAGUGAAUGUGGGUAUCGAUCGCGCCUGCGGUCACGAUGGUGUGCUCACCGGCGUAGGCCUCGGUGUUCACGCCGACCGGGAUGUCGAUGUCAUCCUGGACGUCCGGGUUGCCGGCGCGGCCGAUGCCCUCGAUCAGGCCAUCGCGGAUGCCGAUGUCGGCCUUGUAGAUGCCGGUGUGGUCGACGAUGAUCGCGUUCGUGAUGACGGUGUCGACGACGCCCUCGUCGCGGGUCAUGCGGGCGUUCAUGCCCAUGCCCUCGCGG